CGAAGAGGAGAGCCAAAACCACCAGGCCAGUGUACAAGAAGAAGGCCCCUGGAAGAGAGAAUUACGUUUAUUUUCCUGUGAAGAAACAAUAAAUGCAGAGACAGCUGCUGGAACAUCUGGAGGCCACAGCCGACGAUGAGAGCCCUUCGAGUUGGACCAUGGUUGAGAAUCCUCAAAAUAACAAGACCUUCUGAGGAAAAAAUAAAUAACUGCACUUUUAUAUGGUUGUAUUCCUCAUCAACGCCUUCGUCCCCUCGGAUCUGAAUGAGAACCUGACGGGCCUCUUGGCUCCGGCCCUUCUGGAGGAGCCAACGGGGGCUUUCAGGCAAGAAGAAGAAGCCAAAAAAC
Molecule: long non-coding RNA, 348 nt
Organism: Cheilinus undulatus (humphead wrasse)
Lineage: Eukaryota; Metazoa; Chordata; Actinopteri; Labriformes; Labridae
Exons: 3
Source: RefSeq, a predicted model, not a curated record